Molecule: ribosomal RNA, 406 nt
Filed under: uncultured bacterium
Lineage: Bacteria
Description: partial 16S ribosomal RNA
Rfam family: Bacterial small subunit ribosomal RNA
Source: RNAcentral
AUUGAACGCUGGCGGCAGGCCUCACACAUGCAAGUCGAACGAGUGGCGGACGGGUGAGUAAUGUCUGGGAAACUGCCCGAUGGAGGGGGAUAACUACUGGAAACGGUAGCUAAUACCGCAUACCAUCGGAUGUGCCCAGAUGGGAUUAGCGAGUAGGUGGGGUAACGGCUAACAUAGGCGACGAUCCCUAGCUGGUCUGAGAGGAUGAACAGCGACACUGGAACGGAGACACGGUCCAGACUGCUACGGGAGGCAGCAGUGGGGAAUAGUGCAGAAUGGGCGCAAGCCUGAUGCAGCCAUGCGGAGUGUAUGAAGAAGGCAGUCGGGUUGUAAAGUACUUUCAGCGAGGAGGCGUUACUCGCAGAAGAAGCACCGGCUAACUCCGUGCCAGCAGCCGCGGUAAUUC